RNAcentral lists this signal recognition particle RNA (329 nucleotides) under Hadesarchaea archaeon. RNAcentral describes it as "signal recognition particle sRNA". It matches the Rfam family "Archaeal signal recognition particle RNA". The record is from RNAcentral. Lineage: Archaea; Methanobacteriati; Hadarchaeota (SeqCode); Hadarchaeia (SeqCode).
CGGCGGGCUAGGCGGGGGGCUACCCCUCCCCUGUACCACAAAUGGGGUCCACGGUGGGCCGAAAGCCUGCGGAAGGCGCUGGAACCGCACGUCAGGACCGGUUUCCGGCGUGGAUGUCCCGUCCUGCCGGGUCGGCGGCGGCGGGGCCCCGGCCGGAGGGUCGGGGAGAACCGCCCUCGCCUGGCGAACCCCCCAGGGGCGGAAGAUCGAGAAAAUCGAUCCGAAUCAGCAAGGGUAGUCAGGACGUUCGGCGCUGGCAGCCAACGGGAUGGAGCUCGGAGCCGGACACCGGCGCGCGGGGAAGGCGUCGACCGCUGGCAUGCCCGCCG